ACAUAAAUCAGUGUUAAACACAAACAAAUUUUAGGUAAAUUAAAUAAGGUUUUCAUUUUCAAUCAAUAUAAAAGAAAUAAACGCAAUAAAAAACAAUGUCAGUGACGUAAUAAAUAUGUGUAAAUUUACACGCAUCAUUUAUUAAGCAUUAUAAAAAAAUCCAGCAAUAUUAUUAAACUUUGGUUAUUUGUUAUUAUCCCUGCAUUCAAAUUGCAGGUUGGAGCAGGAAGUUAACCCUUCUGUCGCGCAAGCGCGAGCUGGUCGCGAGCAUAGACAGUGGUCGCGAGGCCAUUCGUACGUCACGUGAGCGGCGCCAUUUUCAUCAUAUGACCGUUUUUCCUCAGGCACACUUCAACAUUUUCUUCGCAUUUAACAUCAUUAAUAACAUGUAAAUAAUAGAAUUCGUAAACAUAACGUUUAUGUUAAUUUAUAAUAUGUUUUUUUUUAUUGUUGGCUUUAAGUUAAUUUGUCUGUCAGACUCAGUUUGUUCGUGUUGUAGCCUGUUAACAGUAGACCAAAGGUAUGAUGAUCAAUUAUAAAUGCAAUAUGGUUGAAAGGUCAGUAAACAAACAACAAAAAGGUAAUUUCUUAAUAGAAUGUCUAUACAUUUUUUGCUUUUGUUACAUAUUUCAUACAUCAAAAUCAUUAAACGUUAAUAAUUAUGUAUUCCAACUUGUUGCAGCUUGACAAAAAUGUAGCUUGAAGGAGAAGGGACAGCUGAGUAACAAAGUCCUGGUACGCAGACGACGAUACUAUUACACUGACAAGAGUGUAAUGAUGAUGGAGACACAAGCCAGAGAAAGGGGGGACCAAACACCAGGCCAGAAUUCUGCAUGAGUCAGAUCCAGUGGGUGCAGAUCAUCAUACAGAUGGUUCAAGUGUGGAUCCACCUAAUAUUCAAGAUUUUCUGUCCUGGGACACUCGGCUAACCAUCAAGAAAGAAGACACUCCAGUGGGCAUCCUUUAUCCAUCCAGACCCUCAUACAGAUGGUUGGAGUUUUGAUUCACCUAAAGUACCAUGCAAGAGCACUCAUUUUCCCUCUUGAGACCAUGGUGUGACCUGCAAGGUCGAAUGGAGACUGUAAACGAGACAAUCUUGGAGUCACCUGCAUUCACUGGUCCAGUUGUUAGUCCAAUUACAGAUGGAGAUUAUAGAAGAGGAUGAUGUCUUUUCUCCAACAUCUUUCUAGACUGAUAAAAGAUCUAGACAGGCUUGAACAAAAGUUAACAGAGGGGCUUAUAUAGAGAAUGGUGAGCAGCUACACAUAAAAGAAGAACAUGGAGAAUCUGCCCAGAGGUGUUAACCAGCAAUGCAGCUAUACAACUAAAUUGAUGCAGGCGGAAACAAUGUGUGUAUGUUAUGUCCAAAUGUUGUUAUGUUCAAAUGUUUUACAAUAUACUUAAACAGGU
Long non-coding RNA from Paramisgurnus dabryanus, 1410 nucleotides. RefSeq lists it as uncharacterized. NCBI's taxonomy places the organism in Eukaryota, Metazoa, Chordata, Actinopteri, Cypriniformes, Cobitidae. The record is from RefSeq and is a predicted model, not a curated record.